GUCCCUGUAGCACAAUCGAUAGCGUAUUGGAUAUUUAAUCCAAGUCGUGGGUUCGAAUCCACCUGGGAUG
This 70-nucleotide transfer RNA is filed under the name Trichonephila clavata. It matches the Rfam family "tRNA". Rfam says of the family: Transfer RNA (tRNA) molecules are approximately 80 nucleotides in length. Their secondary structure includes four short double-helical elements and three loops (D, anti-codon, and T loops). Further hydrogen bonds mediate the characteristic L-shaped molecular structure. tRNAs have two regions of fundamental functional importance: the anti-codon, which is responsible for specific mRNA codon recognition, and the 3' end, to which the tRNAs corresponding amino acid is attached (by aminoacyl-tRNA synthetases). tRNAs cope with the degeneracy of the genetic code in two manners: having more than one tRNA (with a specific anti-codon) for a particular amino acid; and 'wobble' base-pairing, i.e. permitting non-standard base-pairing at the 3rd anti-codon position. The record is from Rfam by way of RNAcentral. Lineage: Eukaryota; Metazoa; Arthropoda; Arachnida; Araneae; Nephilidae.